AGCAGCCGCGGUAAUUCCAGCUCCAAUAGCGUAUAUUAAAGUUGUUGCAGUUAAAAAGCUCGUAGUUGAAUUUCGGGAUUGACACAUCGGUCGUGCCUUAAGGGGUAUGAACUGGUGUAGUCAAUUUCUCACCUUCUGGAGAACCGCGAUGCCCUUAAUUGGGUGUCGCGGGGAACCAGGACCUUUACUUUGAAAAAAUUUAGAGUGUUUAAAGCAGGCAUUUUGCUUGAAUACAUUAGCAUGGAAUAAUAAAAUAGGACGGCAUGAUUCUAUUUUGUUGGUUUCUAGGAUCACCGUAAUGAUUAAUAGGGAUAGUUGGGGGCAUUAGUAUUCAAUUGUCAGAGGUGAAAUUCUUGGAUUUAUUGAAGACUAACUACUGCGAAAGCAUUUGCCAAGGAUGUUUUCAUUAAUCAAGAACGAAAGUUAGGGGAUCGAAGACGAUCAGAUACCGUCGUAGUCUUAACCAUAAACUAUGCCGACUAGGAAUCAGACGAUGUUAAUUUUUUAAUGACUCGUUUGG
RNAcentral lists this non-coding RNA (520 nucleotides) under uncultured Glomus. RNAcentral's name for it is "SSU rRNA". It matches the Rfam family "Eukaryotic small subunit ribosomal RNA", at positions 569 to 1083 of the family's 1831-position model. Lineage: Eukaryota; Fungi; Glomeromycota; Glomeromycetes; Glomerales; Glomeraceae. The record is from RNAcentral. RNAcentral also lists the same sequence under 1 other name.